RNAcentral lists this ribosomal RNA (484 nucleotides) under uncultured bacterium. Its description in RNAcentral is "partial 16S ribosomal RNA". It matches the Rfam family "Bacterial small subunit ribosomal RNA", at positions 30 to 507 of the family's 1533-position model. The record is from RNAcentral.
AUUGAACGCUGGCGGCAGGCCUAACACAUGCAAGUCGAGCGGAUGAAGGGAGCUUGCUCCUGGCUUCAGCGGCGGACGGGUGAGUAAUGCAUAGGUAUCUGCCUGGUCGAGGGGGCUAACGUAAGGUCACGGGCGCUAAUCCCGCAUACGUCCUGAGGGAGAACGUGGGGGAUCUUCGGACCUCACGCUAUCAGAUGAGACUAGGUCGGAUUAGCUAGUUGGUGGGGUAAAGGCCUACCAAGGCGACGAUCCGUAACUGGUCUGAGAGGAUGAUCAGUCACACUGGAACUGAGACACGGUCCAGACUCCUACGGGAGGCAGCAGUGGGGAAUAUUGGGCAAUGGGCGAAAGCCUGAUCCAGCCAUGCCGCGUGUGUGAAGAAGGUCUUCGGAUUGUAAAGCUCUGUAAUUUGGGAGGAAGAGCAGUAAGUGAAUACCUGGCUGUUUUGACGGUACCAACAGAAUAAGCACCGGCUAACUUCGUG